AGUGGUAUAGCUCAGUGGUAAAGCAUGUGCUUAUUAGCAGGCAUGGGAUCCUGGGUUCAACCCCCGGUACCUUCA
RNAcentral lists this transfer RNA (75 nucleotides) under Camelus bactrianus (Bactrian camel). It matches the Rfam family "tRNA". Rfam says of the family: Transfer RNA (tRNA) molecules are approximately 80 nucleotides in length. Their secondary structure includes four short double-helical elements and three loops (D, anti-codon, and T loops). Further hydrogen bonds mediate the characteristic L-shaped molecular structure. tRNAs have two regions of fundamental functional importance: the anti-codon, which is responsible for specific mRNA codon recognition, and the 3' end, to which the tRNAs corresponding amino acid is attached (by aminoacyl-tRNA synthetases). tRNAs cope with the degeneracy of the genetic code in two manners: having more than one tRNA (with a specific anti-codon) for a particular amino acid; and 'wobble' base-pairing, i.e. permitting non-standard base-pairing at the 3rd anti-codon position. RNAcentral also lists the same sequence under 2 other names. The record is from Rfam by way of RNAcentral. Lineage: Eukaryota; Metazoa; Chordata; Mammalia; Artiodactyla; Camelidae.